This 406-nucleotide ribosomal RNA is filed under the name uncultured bacterium. RNAcentral's name for it is "bacterial SSU rRNA". It matches the Rfam family "Bacterial small subunit ribosomal RNA", at positions 917 to 1344 of the family's 1533-position model. The record is from RNAcentral.
GGGCCCGCACAAGCGGUGGAGUAUGUGGUUUAAUUCGAUGCAACGCGAAGAACCUUACCAGCCUUUGACAUCCUAGGACGGUUUCUGGAGACAGAUUCCUUCCCUUCGGGGACCUAGUGACAGGUGCUGCAUGGCUGUCGUCAGCUCGUGUCGUGAGAUGUUGGGUUAAGUCCCGCAACGAGCGCAACCCUCGUCCUUAGUUGCCAUCAUUCAGUUGGGCACUUUAAGGAAACUGCCGGUGAUAAGCCGGAGGAAGGUGGGGAUGACGUCAAGUCCUCAUGGCCCUUACAGGCUGGGCUACACACGUGCUACAAUGGUAGGGACAAUGGGUUAAUCCCAAAAAGCUGUCUCAGUUCGGAUUGGAGUCUGCAACUCGACUCCAUGAAGCUGGAAUCGCUAGUAAUCG